This 415-nucleotide ribosomal RNA is filed under the name uncultured bacterium. RNAcentral's name for it is "bacterial SSU rRNA". It matches the Rfam family "Bacterial small subunit ribosomal RNA", at positions 355 to 787 of the family's 1533-position model. The record is from RNAcentral.
UGGGGAAUAUUGGACAAUGGGCGCAAGCCUGAUCCAGCAAUGCCGCGUGAGUGAUGAAGGCCUUAGGGUUGUAAAGCUCUUUUACCAGGGAUGAUAAUGACAGUACCUGGAGAAUAAGCUCCGGCUAACUCCGUGCCAGCAGCCGCGGUAAUACGGAGGGAGCUAGCGUUGUUCGGAAUUACUGGGCGUAAAGCGCACGUAGGCGGCUAUUCAAGUCGGGGGUGAAAGCCCGGGGCUCAACCCCGGAACUGCCCUCGAAACUAGGUAGCUAGAAUCUUGGAGAGGUCAGUGGAAUUCCGAGUGUAGAGGUGAAAUUCGUAGAUAUUCGGAAGAACACCAGUGGCGAAGGCGACUGACUGGACAAGUAUUGACGCUGAGGUGCGAAAGCGUGGGGAGCAAACAGGAUUAGAUACCC